UAGGGAAUCUUCCGCAAUGGACGCAAGUCUGACGGAGCAACGCCGCGUGAGUGAAGAAGGAUUUCGGUUCGUAAAACUCUGUUGUUAGGGAAGAACAAAUGUGUAAGUAACUAUGCACGUCUUGACGGUACCUAAUCAGAAAGCCACGGCUAACUACGUGCCAGCAGCCGCGGUAAUACGUAGGUGGCAAGCGUUAUCCGGAAUUAUUGGGCGUAAAGCGCGCGUAGGCGGUUUUUUAAGUCUGAUGUGAAAGCCCACGGCUCAACCGUGGAGGGUCAUUGGAAACUGGAAAACUUGAGUGCAGAAGAGGAAAGUGGAAUUCCAUGUGUAGCGGUGAAAUGCGCAGAGAUAUGGAGGAACACCAGUGGCGAAGGCGACUUUCUGGUCUGUAACUGACGCUGAUGUGCGAAAGCGUGGGGAUCAAACAGG
Molecule: ribosomal RNA, 429 nt
Filed under: Bacteroidota bacterium
Lineage: Bacteria; Pseudomonadati; Bacteroidota
Description: Bacteroidetes bacterium partial 16S ribosomal RNA
Rfam family: Bacterial small subunit ribosomal RNA
Source: RNAcentral